GAUGAACGCUGGCGGCGUGCCUAAUACAUGCAAGUCGAGCGAAGCGGGGACGGAUGAGAAACACGUGGAUACACCCCUACAUGACUGGGAUACCUUCGGGGAACCGGAGCUAAAUCUGACACUUAAAGAUGGAUCCGCGCUGCAUUAGCCAGUUGGUAAGGUAACGGCUUACCAAGGCAACGAGGCAUAGCCGACCUGAGAGGUUGAUCGGCCACAGUGGAACUGAGGCACGGUCCAGACUCCUACGGAAGGCAGCAGUAGGGAGUCGUGCGUAAUGGGCGAAAGCCGAACGCAGCAACGCCGCGUGAGGGAUGGAGGUCUUCGGAUCGUAAAACUCUGUUAUUAGGGAAGCGGUAGCUAGUCAGAAAGCCACGGCUAACUACGUGCCAGCAGCCGCGGUAAUAC
Molecule: ribosomal RNA, 405 nt
Filed under: uncultured bacterium
Lineage: Bacteria
Description: partial 16S ribosomal RNA
Rfam family: Bacterial small subunit ribosomal RNA
Source: RNAcentral